Molecule: ribosomal RNA, 1212 nt
Filed under: Ogadenus brumpti
Lineage: Eukaryota; Metazoa; Arthropoda; Arachnida; Ixodida; Argasidae
Description: Argas brumpti 16S ribosomal RNA
Rfam family: Archaeal large subunit ribosomal RNA (bases 794-1139)
Source: RNAcentral
AGAUAAGAUUGUUAUAUAAUAUUGGGAGGGAUUUAGAAAGAAUGUAUUUUAAAAGAAGAAAUUGUGGAACUAUAGUAAAGAGUACUGUAAAGGAAAUUUGAAGUAAUUUUUUAACUUUGAGAAAGUUUUGGGAAUACCUUUUGUAUUAGGGCUAAAAAAGUAAAGUAAAAAAUUUUUAAUUCUCGAAUCUUAGGGAGCUACUUUUAUUGAAUUCUUUUUGUUGCAAAAAUGGAAGAAAGUUUUAGUAGAAAUGAAAUUUUAUUCGAACUAAGAGAUAUCUGGUUAAAUAAGAGUAACUAUAUGUUAGCUGUAAAGAUAUUUAUUUUUUUUAAAUGUUUUAUGGGUAAACACUGUGGGAUAAGCUACAGUUUUUUUUUAUAGAAAGAAACGAAAAAGUGAUUAAGGUUUAAAAUUUACUAGUGUUUGUAAUAAAAAAUUACUGGGAGAAGUAGCGUUAAGAGUUUUUGGCUUAAAUUAAUUGGUGUUGAAGGUUAUGAUGUUGUGAUUAGUAAAAGAUGAUUAAAUAAGAAAUUUUAAAUUUAUUUAAAUUGGUAAUUUAAUUUUGAAGAAUUCAGCAAAAAAAUUUUUGACUGUUUAUCAAAAACAUUGUACUUUGUUUUUAAAAAGUAUAAAACCUGCUCAAUGUGUUAUAUAAAUUGCUGUGGUAUUUUGACUAUACAAAGGUAUUGAAAUAAGGCUUUAAAUGGGCGCUAAGAGAAUGGUUUAACAAAAGUUUUCUUUUUUGAAAUUAAAAAUUGAAAUUGAUUUUUAAGUGAAAAGGCUUAAAUAAUUUUUUGGGACAAGAAGACCCUAUGAAUUUUUAAAAGGAUUAAGUUUAAUAAGAUUUAUUUUUAGUUUUGAUACAUAAUCUUUUUUUAGUUGGGGAGACUGGCAAAGAUAAGUAAUCUUUGUAGGAAAAAUUAAAUUGAUCCAUUAUUAGUGAUUUUUUAAAAAAAAUACUCUAGGGAUAACAGCGUUAUAAUUUUGGAUAGUUCAUAUAGAUAAAAUUGAUUGCGACCUCGAUGUUGGAUUAGGAUUCUAAAAUGGUGGAGAAGCCAUAUUUAGAAGUUUGCUCAACUUAUAAUUUCCUACAUGAUCUGAGUUCAAACCGGCGUGAGCCAGGUUGGUUUCUAUCUAAAUAUUGUUAAUUUUUAUUUUAGUACGAAAGGAAUAAGUAAAAAAGUGUUGACUUUUAAAGGAAAAAGUUAGUUA